CGCCUGCGGGCUGUGGAACUUGAGAAUUUCGUGGCCAACACGCUGCUGCUGAAAGCUCGCCAAGAACCCAUGCAAGGAAGAAGACGGGAGUGAAACAUUUAAAGUAUUGGAAGAAAAACCCACCAACCUAGAAUUCUGCAUCCUGUGAAAUUACCCUCCAAAAGAGAAGAAAUGAAGACUUUCUCAGACAAACCAAAACUGAGGGAAUUUGUUGCUAGUGGAUCUGCCUUGCAAGAAACUAAAAAAAGUUGUUCCUAGAGAAAGAAAAUUAGAUGUUCAGAAACUUUGAUCUACAUAAAGAAAGGAAGAGCAUCAGAGAAUAAAUACAUGAUGGCAUUUUAGAGACAUGCUUGGAAAAAGACCACUCUUGGGAGACAUGAGGGAAAUGGGCUGUCCGUGAGACGACAAGAUGAAGAGACUUGAAUGUGAGUAAAGCCACAAUGGACAAUGAAGUUAAGAGUAUGGAAGCAAAACGGCAUGAAAGAGCAGAGUAUCUGUUGGAACUACGUUUCUCCUGGACAGAAGUUACGAAGGCAAAGUUUUCAUUGACAUAGUUAAAUGGGAGUAGUGAAAACAAUGUACUGGAUUUUAAAUAAGAGCAAAUCUUAAACAAAACAAAAUGAAUCUAUGUAAUUAGCAGAUCAUCCUUUAAGAUUGUGCAUCCUACUUUUCCAUUGCAAUAGCCUUUCUUAGGAAGUAUUGAUGAAAAUAUACUUGGCCAAAUAAGGUACUUAUAAGGAAGUCUGUUAACUUCUCUCCCAUCCUCCUUUUUCAUUUUUCCGUUUGGUGAAAUACAAAAAAACCCCUGUGAUUUUAUCAUGGGAUGAAAAAGAACUGGGAGGCCCACUAGCAGUUUUUCCCUCUUUUGCUUUGAUCAUAUCUGGUAACUGCUGACGUUAGCUGUAGUGAGGAAGAAAAAUAGCCCUGGAUCUACUUAAGGAGCAAGCUGGGACCUAGAUAUACUGUUCCAGUAUAAUGAUUCUGGAUAAAUGCUGCUUUGUGUGCUGAGAGAGUGUUCUACAGGAUCAGUGGUCGCAUUGACUAACACCCUUAUCAAGAUUGUUGUGUUUGCUGGGUACCUGGGUGGCUCACCUGGUUGGGCAUCAGACUCUUGAUUUUGGC
This is a long non-coding RNA of Enhydra lutris kenyoni (northern sea otter), 1122 nucleotides long. RefSeq lists it as uncharacterized. The record is from RefSeq and is a predicted model, not a curated record. The transcript is spliced from 3 exons. Lineage: Eukaryota; Metazoa; Chordata; Mammalia; Carnivora; Mustelidae.